GAUGAACGCUAGCGGCAGGCUUAAUACAUGCAAGUCGAACGGGAUUCAGGGUAGCAAUACUUUGAUGAGAGUGGCGCACGGGUGCGUAACGCGUAUGCAACCUACCUUUAACAGGGGAAUAGCCCCAAGAAAUCGGGAUUAAUACUCCGUAACAUUGCGGGAUGGCAUCAUUCUGCAAUUAAAGAUUUAUCGGUUAAAGAUGGGCAUGCGUGACAUUAGCUUGUUGGUGAGGUAACGGCUCACCAAGGCAACGAUGUCUAGGGGUCCUGAGAGGGUUAUCCCCCACACUGGUACUGAGACACGGACCAGACUCCUACGGGAGCAGCAGUAAGGAAUAGUUGGACAAGUGGGCGACAAGCCU
This 361-nucleotide ribosomal RNA is filed under the name uncultured bacterium. RNAcentral's name for it is "bacterial SSU rRNA". It matches the Rfam family "Bacterial small subunit ribosomal RNA", at positions 28 to 384 of the family's 1533-position model. The record is from RNAcentral.